UACGUAGGGGGCUAGCGUUGUCCGGAAUCAUUGGGCGUAAAGAGCGUGUAGGCGGUCCGGUAAGUCCGCUGUGAAAGUCGGGGGCUCAACCCUCGAAUGCCGGUGGAUACUGUCGGGCUAGAGUGCGGAAUAGGCGAGUGGAAUUCCUGGUGUAGCGGUGAAAUGCGCAGAUAUCAGGAGGAACACCUAUUGCGAAGGCAGCUAACUGGGCAUUAUCUGACGCUGAGGCGCGAAAGCGUGGGUAGCAAACAGG
This 253-nucleotide ribosomal RNA is filed under the name uncultured bacterium. RNAcentral's name for it is "partial 16S ribosomal RNA". It matches the Rfam family "Bacterial small subunit ribosomal RNA", at positions 524 to 776 of the family's 1533-position model. The record is from RNAcentral.